GUGAGGAAUUUUGCGCAAUGGGGGCAACCCUGACGCAGCGACGCCGCGUGGAGGACGAAGUCUUUCGGGAUGUAAACUCCUGUCAGUGGGGACGAUAAUGACGGUACCCACAGAGGAAGCACCGGCUAACUCCGUGCCAGCAGCCGCGGUAAGACGGAGGGUGCAAGCGUUGUUCGGAAUUACUGGGCGUAAAGAGUAUGUAGGCGGCAAGUUAAGUUCAAUGUUAAAGCCCACGGCUCAACCGAGGAGAUGCAUUGAAUACUGGCUAGCUAGAGGGUGUUAGAGGAAGACGGAAUUCCCAGUGUAGCGGUGAAAUGCUUAGAUAUUGGGAGGAACAUCGGUAGCGAAAGCGGUCUUCUGGGACAUACCUGACGCUGAGGUACGAAAGCGUGGGGAGCAAACGGGAUUAGAAACCCGUGUAGUCC
This 425-nucleotide ribosomal RNA is filed under the name uncultured bacterium. Its description in RNAcentral is "partial 16S ribosomal RNA". It matches the Rfam family "Bacterial small subunit ribosomal RNA", at positions 354 to 796 of the family's 1533-position model. The record is from RNAcentral.